RNAcentral lists this transfer RNA (72 nucleotides) under Camelus bactrianus (Bactrian camel). It matches the Rfam family "tRNA". Rfam says of the family: Transfer RNA (tRNA) molecules are approximately 80 nucleotides in length. Their secondary structure includes four short double-helical elements and three loops (D, anti-codon, and T loops). The record is from Rfam by way of RNAcentral. RNAcentral also lists the same sequence under 1 other name. Lineage: Eukaryota; Metazoa; Chordata; Mammalia; Artiodactyla; Camelidae.
GCGGGUAGAGCUCAGUGGAAGAGUGUGUGCUUAGCAUGCACGAGGUCCUGGCUUCAAUCCCCAGUAUCUCUG